RNAcentral lists this long non-coding RNA (437 nucleotides) under Medicago truncatula (barrel medic). Its description in RNAcentral is "long non-coding RNA (MTRU_LNC008378)". Lineage: Eukaryota; Viridiplantae; Streptophyta; Magnoliopsida; Fabales; Fabaceae. The record is from RNAcentral.
UUGAAAAGUUUAAGAGUGGGGAACGAUAAAUGAAUAAGAAAAAUUAAACAUGGAUGAAGGUAGCGUGAGAGAAGAGGGGGAAUAUGUAGAAAGGAAUAAAGGAAGAGUGAUGCCAUGCUGAUAAAAAGGAAAAGGUUGAAAGUGACUCUAAAACCACGCACCCUACAAAAAAGGUUGAAAAUGGGGAAAGAGAAAAUAAUAAAAAAACAGAAACAUAGAUAAAGAUAACAAGAAAAGGGAAAGAGUUGUAGAAAGAAAUAAAGGUAGCUUGAUGCCAUGAUGAGAAAAGGGAAAAAGUUAAAACUUUCUCCAAAAACCAACCUCCAACCACAAAAUGUUGAAAGUGCACCAUUGAAACAUAAUAAAGGUAGUGUGAUGCAACAAUGAGAAAAGGGAAAAAGACGAUGGUGUUGGUAUUAGUUUCUUAAACUACAUAG